UCCUACGGGAGGCAGCAGUGAGGAAUAUUGGUCAAUGGUCGGGAGACUGAACCAGCCAAGCCGCGUGAGGGAUGAAGGUACAGAGUAUCGUAAACCUCUUUUGUCAGGGAACAAAGGCGGGGACGUGUCCCCGGAUGAGUGUACCUGAAGAAAAAGCAUCGGCUAACCCCGUGCCAGCAGCCGCGGUAAUACGGAGGAUGCGAGCGUUAUCCGGAUUUAUUGGGUUUAAAGGGUGCGCAGGCGGUCUGUUAAGUCAGCGGUCAAAGCCCGGGGCUCAACCCCGGCCCGCCGUUGAAACUGGCAGU
RNAcentral lists this ribosomal RNA (305 nucleotides) under uncultured bacterium. RNAcentral's name for it is "bacterial SSU rRNA". It matches the Rfam family "Bacterial small subunit ribosomal RNA", at positions 337 to 640 of the family's 1533-position model. The record is from RNAcentral.